This 239-nucleotide non-coding RNA is filed under the name Clostridium sp. RNAcentral's name for it is "T-box sequence". It matches the Rfam family "T-box leader". Rfam says of the family: Uncharged tRNA acts as the effector for transcription antitermination of genes in the T-box leader family. T-boxes are found upstream of many aminoacyl-tRNA synthetase genes and some amino acid biosynthetic genes usually in Gram-positive bacteria. The record is from RNAcentral. Lineage: Bacteria; Bacillati; Bacillota; Clostridia; Eubacteriales; Clostridiaceae.
ACAAAAGCUAAGAAAGCGAAAAGUAAACAGUGCUGUUAUCACAGAGAGAAAAUGUCACCGGCUGAAAGCAUUUUUGAUAAAACAGAUUGUUGAAGUUCCCGCUGGAGCUGAUUUUUUGAACAAUGUAAAAUUCAGUAGGAAAAUCCGUGUGCUGUGCGUUAUGCAGUAAAAAGUGCCUGUAUAUUUUGUAUGCAGGAAUUUGGGUGGUACCACGGAAAACAAUAACAUUCGUCCCUUUU